GUACCGGAUUGAAACUACGCGUGCUGGAAGCGAUUGGACCACCUGAGAUCGACGCAGGAGGGGCUGACUUGCAGUGGUGGCGCAACCUGGUGGCGGAGCAGCUGGUGGCGCAACUGCAGGCGCGACAGAUAUGCUCCUGGUGGUCGGCAGCGCGCUGGAGCUGCAACAAGGCUGAGCACACGGAGGAACAGUGGCGGAGCUGUGGCUGGGUUUGC
Molecule: long non-coding RNA, 215 nt
Filed under: Jatropha curcas
Lineage: Eukaryota; Viridiplantae; Streptophyta; Magnoliopsida; Malpighiales; Euphorbiaceae
Description: long non-coding RNA (JCUR_LNC001741)
Source: RNAcentral